Molecule: ribosomal RNA, 588 nt
Filed under: Hirondellea gigas
Lineage: Eukaryota; Metazoa; Arthropoda; Malacostraca; Amphipoda; Lysianassidae
Description: bacterial SSU rRNA
Rfam family: Eukaryotic small subunit ribosomal RNA
Source: RNAcentral
ACACGGCGAGACCGCGGACGGCUCAUUAAAUCAGUCGUGGUCCAUAUGGGCUAGAGUUAAUCCUACUUGGAUAACUGUGGUAAUUCCAGAGCUAAUACAUGCAACUCUUAUCCUGACGUAGCGCGGCUCAUCUCACGGUUUGUCGUAGCGCUGACGGAUGCUUUUAUUAGACCAAACCGCUGGGUGCGUGUUCGUGUUUAUUCGCGGAUGCGUACCGCUCGUUUAAUGGUGACUCUGGAUAACCUUAUUGACAAGCGCACGUACUCCUCGUGGGACGGCGCUGCCACUUUCGAGUGUCUGCCUUAUCAGCUAUCAACCGUUUGUUACGUGCACACGAUGGCUUUGACGGGUAACGGGGAAUCAGAGUUCGAUUCCGGAGAGGCAGCCUGAGAGACGGCUACCACGUCCAAGGACGGCAGCAGGCACGCAAAUUACCCAAUCCCAGCACCUGGGGGAGGUAGUGACGAAAUCUAACGAUGCGGGCGCCCUUUCUGGGGCCCCGCAAUCGGAAUGGCCACUUUCUAAACAACCUGUUGAGAACCUACUGAAGGGCAAGUCUGGUGCCAGCAGCCGCGGUAAUUCCAGCUU